GUGAACGCUGGCGGUAGGCCUCACACCUGCAAGUCGAACGGCAGCACAGUAAGAGCUUGCUCUUACGGGUGGCGAGUGGCGGACGGGUGAGGAAUACAUCGGAAUCUACUUUUUCGUGGGGGAUAACGUAGGGAAACUUACGCUAAUACCGCAUACGACCUACGGGUGAAAGCAGGGGAUCUUCGGACCUUGCGCGAUUGAAUGAGCCGAUGUCGGAUUAGCUAGUUGGCGGGGUAAAGGCCCACCAAGGCGACGAUCCGUAGCUGGUCUGAGAGGAUGAUCAGCCACACUGGAACUGAGACACGGUCCAGACUCCUACGGGAGGCAGCAGUGGGGAAUAUUGGACAAUGGGCGCAAGCCUGAUCCAGCCAUACCGCGUGGGUGAAGAAGGCCUGCGGGUUGUAAAGCCCUUUGUUGGGAAAGAAAAGCAGCAGGUUAAUACCCCGCUGUUCUGACGGUACCCAAAGAAUAAGCACCGGCUAACUUCGUG
This 490-nucleotide ribosomal RNA is filed under the name uncultured bacterium. RNAcentral describes it as "partial 16S ribosomal RNA". It matches the Rfam family "Bacterial small subunit ribosomal RNA", at positions 29 to 507 of the family's 1533-position model. The record is from RNAcentral.